Molecule: long non-coding RNA, 214 nt
Filed under: Elaeis guineensis (African oil palm)
Lineage: Eukaryota; Viridiplantae; Streptophyta; Magnoliopsida; Arecales; Arecaceae
Description: long non-coding RNA (EGUI_LNC001610)
Source: RNAcentral
GGCAACAACCGUGGUUGUCUAUUUGCUCUAGUUUUAUUUUGGUUUUGUGGGUUGGAAGAAGGGAAGGCAAAAUUCAAAAGACGAGAGUUGCUGAGACUGGUGCACAGUUGCUUCUUUUGUUUUGCUCCCCAAGUCAUGUGGGGAUCCUUAGCAAACCUACUGGAUGGCAUCGAGAAACGUGGAGCAUAGGAGUGAAGGGGUUCAGGAGGCGGAC